UAGUUCAGGUGGUAGAGCAUGGCGGUUGUAACGUCAGGGUUGUGGGUUCGAUUCCCAC
This 58-nucleotide transfer RNA is filed under the name Salmo salar (Atlantic salmon). It matches the Rfam family "tRNA", at positions 8 to 63 of the family's 71-position model. Rfam says of the family: Transfer RNA (tRNA) molecules are approximately 80 nucleotides in length. Their secondary structure includes four short double-helical elements and three loops (D, anti-codon, and T loops). Further hydrogen bonds mediate the characteristic L-shaped molecular structure. tRNAs have two regions of fundamental functional importance: the anti-codon, which is responsible for specific mRNA codon recognition, and the 3' end, to which the tRNAs corresponding amino acid is attached (by aminoacyl-tRNA synthetases). tRNAs cope with the degeneracy of the genetic code in two manners: having more than one tRNA (with a specific anti-codon) for a particular amino acid; and 'wobble' base-pairing, i.e. permitting non-standard base-pairing at the 3rd anti-codon position. The record is from Rfam by way of RNAcentral. Lineage: Eukaryota; Metazoa; Chordata; Actinopteri; Salmoniformes; Salmonidae.